UACGUAGGGGGCAAGCGUUGUCCGGAUUUAUUGGGCGUAAAGAGCGUGUAGGCGGUCUGGUAGGUCCGUUGUGAAAACUCGAGGCUCAACCUCGAGACGCCGAUGGAAACCCUCAGACUAGAGUCCGGAAGAGGAGAGUGGAAUUCCUGGUGUAGCGGCGAAAUGCGCAGAUAUCAGGAAGAACCCCCGUGGCUAAGGCGGCUCUCUAGUACGGUACUGACGCUGAGACGCGAAAGCGUGGGGAGCGAACAGG
This 253-nucleotide ribosomal RNA is filed under the name uncultured bacterium. RNAcentral describes it as "partial 16S ribosomal RNA". It matches the Rfam family "Bacterial small subunit ribosomal RNA", at positions 524 to 776 of the family's 1533-position model. The record is from RNAcentral.